RNA transcript from Papaver somniferum (opium poppy), 2390 nucleotides. RefSeq lists it as uncharacterized. The transcript is spliced from 10 exons. NCBI's taxonomy places the organism in Eukaryota, Viridiplantae, Streptophyta, Magnoliopsida, Ranunculales, Papaveraceae. The record is from RefSeq and is a predicted model, not a curated record.
UAUUUACUCUGAGCGAUUCAGUUCUUCCAUUAUCUGUGAUUGAAUCUUCGGUUUCCAUUAAUUACGUUUUCUCAAUAGCAUCUCAGGGUCGCUCGGAGUUCCCCUUCAAACAAUUUCGCAGCUUCUGAAAUAAGUAACGGUUCUAGGUUUGCCCUAAUAAUUAGAACUCCGAUGGGAUUAAUUUAUUGGUGAAAUUAAUUAAAGCAAAAGAAACGCACGCCAUGGAUUUCAUUGCCUGCUACCUCUAUAAAUUGUCUCCGAAAAUCACAGGAAAUCAUCAGUCUCACGGGUUCACCAUCUUCCCAGUCAAAGAGAGAAAUGGCGUCACAGGUUACUUGCAAUAUUCAUAAGGUUGGACCCUCAGCCACACAUGACACACUCAAGAGCUUGCGAUCGCUUGACGAAGGAAGAGCUAGCAUCGUUACCAUCCGUGUUACCCUGAAAUGGGAAGAGGUGGACUUCAUGUCGACCAACGACGUUACCAGCAUUGAUAUGGUUAUUGUUGACGUGCAGGGGGAAGAAUUAUACGCUGUUAUACCCAAAAAUCUUAUUUGGAAGUUUGAUAAGCUGAUUCUGGAGGGGGUUUCUAUGCAGAAACUACACUUGACCACUGCUAAACCCAAGUUCCGUCCUGCGCACAAUGAGAAGCGGGCCUUCUUCCGGAGCACCACCUCCGUUUCUGCUUUGGAUGCGUAUUCCGUGUCCAUUAUUUCCCAGAAAUUCUGUUUCACUGAGCUUGAAGCCAUAUAAUCGAACCUCCAGAACAUACAUCUUACAGAUGUGGUUGGUUUCUUAAAAACGGUCACGAACAUCCAGGUGCUUCAAAGGUCCGGUGGGAAAUCAAGCCGAAUGCGGGAGAUCACAAUUGAAAAUCUCAGGGGCACAACUAUGAAAAUUGCUCUAUGGGGUUCUGCCGCCAACCAAGCAGGGAAUGACCCAAUUGAUUGCGACUUCGUCCCCCCGUCCUGUGGUUGUUCCCGUUAGCUCCACUUUUGUUAAGAACUACCAAGGUAUCCCAAGGGACAUUUUCAUUAACCAAUGUUUUGCGUUAGCCUAUGAACACAAUGGAAGAAACACUUUGCUGACGAUACAGAAGUUGUAACUGCAAUUUGAUAUGAUGACCUUUUCUUUUGUUAGAGAAGAGACAAUAAUGACAACAUUAGUAUAUAUAUACCUGUAUAUGAGAUUACUUCACCACCAGUUUACAUCAUCGAAACGAGUAAAAAAGAAGUUUUAGAGUCGUUAAGAAGGUUUCCAAUCAAGGCAGCUGUAAGGAGAAGAUGGCAAACCAAAUGCGAGCACAUCAGUAUACUUUAGCUUAUCUGAACAAAAGAAGAUCCACAUCCCACUUGCCAUCAAAAGGAACCGAGGCAACCAUAUCUGAUAAGAACGUUUCGAUAACCCCUGCCACAGUCAUCGCACCAGCUAUCGUUCCUUUGAAGAGGGAGCACCGACUUACCACAGUCAUCGCACCAGCUAUCGUUCCUUUGAAGAGGGAGCACCGACUUACCAUUGCUGAAAUUAACUCCGCAACAAGGGCGAGCACGAGUGAGGGAAAUGCAUCUUUCACGAUGUUGGCACAAAUUCUAUCUUUGAACGACAAAUGGUUAAUCAUCUACUGCCUAAUAUGCUUUGGGCAUGUGUCGGAAUGGAAACAUCGUAGUAUCUGUAAAACAUGUUUCGGCAUAGUUCACCCUACCACGAGGCUAAGCCUAACCAUGGAGGUUAACACCAAGGUGGAAACGCUGAUAAGUUUGAAAGAGGUAGUGUGCUAAAUAUUAAUAAUUCAAAUACCCGCAAAACCCAUACAUUUUAAACCAACAUCACUGUCAUCAAAUUUAAUAUGCAAAAUGUUACGGGAAGACGGAGAUCAACAUGUUUUCGGAGUACUUUAUGAAAUUUCGCUGCGCCAGAUGGUAUUUCAAGUUCGUACGUCAACUGAGAUAUGGGGAAACCAACCACCAAUAUAUAAUGUGGUUCGACUUAACCGGAGAUGCGGAGCGUGGACGGCUUACUAUGUCGACCAACUGUUCAAUGAGGAAUGUAACCAUGAGGAAGAACAAUAAUUCGUAAAUGGCGACAUUGCAUCCUUGGCGAAGAAACUUCAACAACUUCAGCUCAAUGGGACGUUGUUUCAGGGAGAUACUGGAUCGAUGGAGGAUGUGGAUUGAAGAGGUGGAUCAUUAAGGAUCGAAGACUUACCAAGAUGAGAAUAUUGGAUUUAUUUUGCUUUGUUUUGUUAAACCCCUAGAUUUAUUUGGUGAUUUGGUUGGUUUUUUAUUGAUCUUUUAGCUUUGUCUUUAUAGUUGUCUGUUUUGUGGCUCCUUAGUGGAUUAUCACAUGCCUUACAUUGGAAUUUUAUAUUUUGAAUGAUAGUUUUCGAUCCUAUA